CCUACGGGUGGCUGCAGUGGGGGAUCUUGGACAAUGGGGGAAACCCUGAUCCAGCGAUGCCGCGUGUGUGAAGAAGGCCUUCGGGUUGUAAAGCACUUUAGAUGUGGAGGAAGGGUAGCAGGUUAAGAGCUGGCUACCUUGACGGUACACAAAGAAUAAGCACCGGCUAACUCUGUGCCAGCAGCCGCGGUAAUACAGAGGGUGCGAGCGUUAAUCGGAAUUACUGGGCGUAAAGGGCGCGUAGGCGGUUGAUUAAGCUGUAUGUGAAAGAAUUG
Molecule: ribosomal RNA, 275 nt
Filed under: uncultured bacterium
Lineage: Bacteria
Description: partial 16S ribosomal RNA
Rfam family: Bacterial small subunit ribosomal RNA
Source: RNAcentral